This 252-nucleotide ribosomal RNA is filed under the name uncultured bacterium. RNAcentral describes it as "partial 16S ribosomal RNA". It matches the Rfam family "Bacterial small subunit ribosomal RNA", at positions 524 to 776 of the family's 1533-position model. The record is from RNAcentral.
UACAGAGGGGGCAAGCGUUGUCCGGAUUACUGGGCGUACAGCGCGCGCAGGCGGUUGCCGGCGUGCCGUGUGACAAGCGGGGGCUCAACCCCCGAGGGCCACGGUAAACGGGGCGACUGGAGGUAGGGAGAGGGAUGUGGAAUGCCCGGUGGAGCGGUGAAAUGCGUAGAUAUCGUAAGGAAGACCAGUGGCGAAGGCGGGUCUCUGGACAGUUCCUGACGCUGAGGCACGAAGGCCAGGGGAGCAAACGGG